This 431-nucleotide ribosomal RNA is filed under the name uncultured bacterium. RNAcentral's name for it is "partial 16S ribosomal RNA". It matches the Rfam family "Bacterial small subunit ribosomal RNA", at positions 28 to 507 of the family's 1533-position model. The record is from RNAcentral.
AACGAACGCUGGCGGCAGGCCUAACACAUGCAAGUCGAGCGCCCCGCCCGGGGUUCGGCGGACGGGUGAGUAACGCGUGGGGAGAUUCCCUUUGCUACGGCAUAGCCUCGGCAAACUGGGGGUAAUACGGAAUACGCCCUUUUGCGGGAAGGUUUUUCGGCCUAGGUUUAGCCCGCGUGGGAUUGGGUAGUGGGUGGGGUAAUGGCCUGCCAAGCCGACGAUGCAUAGCUGGGUUGAGAGGAGGACCAGCCACACUGGGACUGCGACACGGCCCAGACUCCGACGGGAGGCAGCAGUGGGGAGUCUUAGACGAGGGGGGCAACCCUGAUCAAGCCAUGCCGCGGGAGUGAUGAAGGGCGUAGGGUUGUAAAGCUCUUUGAGCUGGGGAGAUAGUGACGGUACCGGGAGAAGAAGCCCCGGCUAACUACGUG